UACGAAGGGGGCUAGCGUUGCUCGGAAUCACUGGGCGUAAAGGGUGCGUAGGCGGGUUUUUAAGUCAGGGGUGAAAUCCUGGAGCUCAACUCCAGAACUGCCUUUGAUACUGAAGAUCUUGAGUCCGGGAGAGGUGAGUGGAACUGCGAGUGUAGAGGUGAAAUUCGUAGAUAUUCGCAAGAACACCAGUGGCGAAGGCGGCUAACUGGCCCGGUACUGACGCUGAGGCACGAAAGCGUGGGGAGCAAACAGG
RNAcentral lists this ribosomal RNA (253 nucleotides) under uncultured bacterium. Its description in RNAcentral is "partial 16S ribosomal RNA". It matches the Rfam family "Bacterial small subunit ribosomal RNA", at positions 524 to 776 of the family's 1533-position model. The record is from RNAcentral.